UUUUUUGUUAGGUGUUGUAUUUUUUUUUGGAAAAACUUUAAAUACAACUUCUAUAGCUUCGCACCUUCUCACUUUAGUAUUCUGUGAUUUAAAGUGUAUCAAUUUAAUGUUAUGUGGUUUCAUUUUUAUCUUUUUAUUAUUAAUUUUACUUUUUUUUCGUUAAAUCAGUGACAAAAUUAAAACUAAAGGAUACUAAAGUAAGUAUUUGAUAAACUUAAGUGGGGUAUAUGAAAUUUUUUGUAUAUAAUAACGAAAUAUUAACGCUGACGAAAAAAUAAAAAUGAGACCACAGAACACUAACUUAAUACAAUUUAAAGCACAGAAUAUUAAAAUGAGAAGAUGCGAAAUCAUAGAUGUAGUAUUUGAAGUUUACCCUACUUUUUUUAAA
Molecule: long non-coding RNA, 388 nt
Filed under: Ananas comosus (pineapple)
Lineage: Eukaryota; Viridiplantae; Streptophyta; Magnoliopsida; Poales; Bromeliaceae
Description: long non-coding RNA (ACOM_LNC005055)
Source: RNAcentral